CACGUAGGCGGAUCGUUAAGUCAGGGGUGAAAUCCCGGGGCUCAACCCCGGAACUGCCUUUGAUACUGGCGAUCUCGAGUUCGGGAGAGGUGAGUGGAAUUCCGAGUGUAGAGGUGAAAUUCGUAGAUAUUCGGAGGAACACCAGUGGCGAAGGCGGCUCACUGGCCCGAUACUGACGUUGAGGUGCGAAAGCGUGGGGAGCAAACA
Molecule: ribosomal RNA, 207 nt
Filed under: uncultured bacterium
Lineage: Bacteria
Description: partial 16S ribosomal RNA
Rfam family: Bacterial small subunit ribosomal RNA
Source: RNAcentral